This 509-nucleotide ribosomal RNA is filed under the name uncultured bacterium. RNAcentral describes it as "partial 16S ribosomal RNA". It matches the Rfam family "Bacterial small subunit ribosomal RNA", at positions 355 to 874 of the family's 1533-position model. The record is from RNAcentral.
UGGGGAAUAUUGCACAAUGGGCGCAAGCCUGAUGCAGCAACGCCGCGUGAGGGACGACGGCCUUCGGGUUGUAAACCUCUUUUAGUAGGGAAGAAGCGAAAGUGACGGUACCUGCAGAAAAAGCACCGGCUAACUACGUGCCAGCAGCCGCGGUAAUACGUAGGGUGCGAGCGUUGUCCGGAAUUAUUGGGCGUAAAGAGCUCGUAGGCGGUCUGUCGCGUCUGCUGUGAAAACCCGAGGCUCAACCUCGGGCCUGCAGUGGGUACGGGCAGACUAGAGUGCGGUAGGGGAGAAUGGAAUUCCUGGUGUAGCGGUGGAAUGCGCAGAUAUCAGGAGGAACACCGAUGGCGAAGGCAGUUCUCUGGGCCGUAACUGACGCUGAGGAGCGAAAGCGUGGGGAGCGAACAGGAUUAGAUACCCUGGUAGUCCACGCCGUAAACGUUGGGCGCUAGAUGUGGGGACCAUUCCACGGUUUCCGUGCCGCAGCUAACGCAUUAAGCGCCCCGCCU